Molecule: non-coding RNA, 863 nt
Organism: Paramuricea clavata
Lineage: Eukaryota; Metazoa; Cnidaria; Anthozoa; Malacalcyonacea; Plexauridae
Source: the annotation of a GenBank genome assembly
GUAUUAUAUGUUUUAUCGCCAUGCAAACCUACAAAGAACUUAUAUAUAACUUCCCAACGAAGAGCUUUCGCUUGAAACGUCACGUUUUACUUGUAUUUUUCAACAAUCCCUCUCACAUUUAUCCCUGUGUGUCAUAUUUAUAAACUACUGUAUCUAUUUUGAAAGCUUUAUGUAUUAACCCAGUCUCGGUAUAAACACGAGAUCGCGUCCUUUCCAGGCCAUGUCUUCUCUUCCAACGUUGGUAGAACAUCCGAAACUCGGGACUGCGAAAGUAGUAUAUAAGUGGAUCUAAGACGAUGUUAAGUACCAUCAAUGGGGAGAGAAAUGCAGUAUAUCUUUGAAAAUCCACCUCUUCUUUCUUGCUGCCAUAGAGAAAGAAAAUUAACAUCAAUGGCAGCCAUGCAAGUAUGAAUGUUGCACUAACCAUUGUGACUGUUUUUACAGACUUUAAGUCUUCCUUAAGAUUUCUUUGUAAUCCUGUCACGACUCCGUGAAAAGUUUCUUUUAUUUUUCUAACAUGUUUUCUUGACAUAUAAAACAUGUAGAGAUUGGAUGAGACGAAUGCUAGUACUAAGAACAUCAUGUAGUAUCGUCCAUAGUUAAAGAAAUUGCCAUCGGAGUAGACUAAGUAGCCAAUCAAAUGCAGUAACGUUAAUAUCGAUGCAGCGGCCCAUACGAGCGCCACCAGGAGCUUGGCACGUAAAGGAGUCAUCCUUCGUGCAUAUUUAAGAGGCCACGUUAUGGAUAUCAAGCGGUUAAUAGUCAACAGACAUACACUGCCCAGUGAUGAAAAUAGCGUGAAAGUGAAUAAGCAAUACGCAGCUUCCCAAUUCCAGUAAAACAUAUGAGAUAUAUAAAAUAUU